Long non-coding RNA from Spinacia oleracea (spinach), 747 nucleotides. RefSeq lists it as uncharacterized. The transcript has 2 exons. Lineage: Eukaryota; Viridiplantae; Streptophyta; Magnoliopsida; Caryophyllales; Amaranthaceae. The record is from RefSeq and is a predicted model, not a curated record.
AACUUUAGGGUCAACACUCCUCUCUCAACCCACCGACGGGACGACAUUCUUCUUCCCUUCACUGAUUCACUCCUUCAAUCGAACUUGCUUCCAAUAGAAGCUUCUCUCCUCUUUCCUAUCUAUGGCUGACAGAGUAGGUUUUUAAUGCUUGUGUUGCACAAUGGACUCCCCGCAGUCUGUUGUGCCACCAUUUAAGAACUUGAUUGUUAGUGGUGCUGAGCAAGAGAAACAGAGACUAGAAGUGUUAGUCCGCGGUACUCCCACUCACAUAGCUAACCAGGCAGAAAAGAACAAGGUAAAUGUGAAUGUUUAUAACACAGAAGAUUCAUCGGUACCCUCGAUGUGUAUGUACAUCAGGCAAGAGACAUUAUGAACUUUCUCGUAGAUUAGAGUAUCAACCCUCAAAACUGUGGCUGAUUGGUUCUAUAUGAAGGCCCCACAAUACAUGUCUGAUAGUUAACGGUCUCGGUAGCAUAUAGGAAAGGUUGUCUGACCCUUGCUCUUUAUGACUAUUCAAAGGGAAAUACACGAGGAAUAUUCUAGCCAUUUUAUUACGUUAUACAACAGGGUUUUGUAUUUUUUGUAAUCUUUUUGGAUUACAUUCUUUGUCAAUGUAAAUAUCAAAAUUUAUCACGCGAUUAAGCUGUAGCUUUGUAAAUGUUGUCAUUAUUUAUAAGAUAUAAUUAUGUAUGGCACGUGCAACGCACGUACCCAAUAACUAGUAUAAAGUAAAAAAAUUAUGUACUA